This is a non-coding RNA of Salvia hispanica, 1614 nucleotides long. The record is from RefSeq and is a predicted model, not a curated record. Lineage: Eukaryota; Viridiplantae; Streptophyta; Magnoliopsida; Lamiales; Lamiaceae.
UAUGCUCCCUCUCCUAUCGACACAUCUCUCUCUCUCUUCUUCACAAUUCCAAUUUCACUUCAUUUCUCAAAAUCCCUAAUUCAAAGAACCAGAGGCUGCGCCUCCUACUCCAUUCUCCGGCGAAAUCGUCGUCUCUCCGGCGAUUCACCGCCUCUCUGCGUCGCCGGAACUACACCGGCUCCGCCUCCUCUCUCGAAUUCGCACCUCGUCUCCUUUCCUUCGGCGAAAUCGCCUCUAGCUCGACGGGAUUUCAGAGUCCCGCCAGCGCCGGCUCUCGCGCAUGUUCGCCACUUCGCUACGCGAGCGGCGGCCCUUCUUCACCGCCGUUCGCCGUCAUUUGCCGCUGCCGCCGCCUUGCAGCGCAGCUUUCCGGCGAGAGGGGGCGUGGGGAGGCAUCGCCUUCUCCUCCCUCUCUCAGCCGCGGCCUGCAGCUUCCUCGCAGGAGCUUCCGGACUCCGUCGACGCUCGCCCGUCGGCCGGCCGCCUCGCCCCUGCUGCCGCCGUGAUCCACAGCUUCUCCGCGGAAGUUCUUCGGCUCCGUCGACGCUCGCCGUCGCCCGGUCACCCCUCCGCCUAAGCUAAGUCUUCUCCCCCAUACCCCUUACUCUUUUUCUUUCGAGCUAUGGCAGCAGCUUAUUCUUGGAAAGGAAAUUCUCUAUUGGGGUCUUGUGUGGCUUAUGGUGAUAUAUUGCUCAAAUUGAAACCUUGUUAAGCUCUUGCUUAUGAGAUUAUGCUACUGAAUUCAUAUGGAGGGGGGGUUAUCACGCGGCUAUCUCUAAUUUGCAUAGCUCUAAGCUCUUGAGCUUCAACUUAGUGUUACAUGGUUGUUAUUGUUUUAUCCUUGCUGCGAGGAUCCUAUGGAAAUUCUAAGUUCUUGUUUCUAGCUAUUCGUUGUUCUACAUGAUGCGAUGGAGAUGGGUGUUGAGGUUGUUUACCUCACUUGUUGAACUUGUAUCGGUGGUGGCUGUCCUUGCCGUCACCACUCGCUGCCCUCUCCCUCCUCCCUCGCUGCUCUUCGCGUUUGGUGUUGCAGAAUUUGUGGUGAUGGAAUGUGGUGGUGGAGGAGGUGAGGAGAGGUUGCUUAUAUGGUGCUAAGCUAUUGAAAGCUAGGCUUGAGACUUGGAGUCAAAGACUCCUAUUUUGGGCUUGUUAGCUCUCUUACUUUCGAGCUUGAUGAUUGUGAGAUUCUUGCCGUUUUGGUGAUUGUGGCUGAUUCCCUUGGCUGAUUUCUCGGCCUCGAUCGACGGGGAGAUGAGAGUUUGUCUCAUCCUCUAUUUUUGGGCUUGUGUAGGAGCUCGCUCUCCAAUGCCCCUUUGUCUCGACUCCCUUUUGAUGUUAGAGGAGAUGGUAUCAUAGCUGGAAAUUUGGAGCCUUAUGGGCUGAAAAUCGAGAAGGAGAUUGAGGGGGAAAGAAAGAAGAUGCUCCUCUAGAGAUCCUUUGGCUCCAUCACCAAAAUAGCUAGCUUCCAACUUGCUCACUAGUGUAGGAUAAUGGUGUAGAGAAGAUGUGUGUGUGUCACCCUCACAUAUGUAACAUGUGCUAGAUGUAUCUCCAACAUUCUUGUGUAAUUUGUUCCUCAAUUAUUUAUCUAAUAAAAGCAUAGCUUUACUUUUA